CCGAGCCGGGCCGGGCCGGCGGCUCAAGGCAGGGCAGGGCAGGCCUAGCCUGGCCUGGCCUGGCCUGGCCUGGCCUGGCCUGUGGGGGCGCUGCCCUGAAACCCGCGUUUAGAGGAGCUGUGUUGGAAUAAAGUCACGAGCGAGCCGGUGGGCCGCUGGCAACGCUAAGAGGGACUAGGCAGGCAUCUUCAGAAAUACCUGAGAACUGUGUUUUAUUGGGCUACAGUAAAACGCUGAUCGCCACAAGAAGUACACUUUGUGCUUACAUAGUGAGAAGCACCUGGGUUUGGUUUCAAGGAUACAUUGCCUCCCUCCCUUGCAAAGUUCUCCGGAGUUAGUCAGAUGGCUGCCGACAACCUGCACCGUGCAAAUGCUCUCAUGGUUCUGCCUGCACAGGAUGGUUGUGAGGUGUUCCUGUCCCAAGGACAUCUGAAAACUGCCACAUGCCAAGUCUGCAGCUAAAAUGUUUCAUCCCCUCUUAUAUCUCAGUCAUGACUGAUGGUAAAAAUUCAACAAACUAGAGCCAUGGAACAGGACCAGGGAAGGAUUUAAGGAGGGCAACUUUAUUGAAUCAAGUCAGAGGAUGUUGUGGGUUUGGAGAUGCUUGACCCACAAAGAGAUGUUGACCACAGAUUUGAAGCUCUUCAAAACUUCAAAGCUCUACAAAGAGUGUGACUGUUUAAAGAUUUCAAGGUGUGUGAAUUUAAAGGACAACAGCCCAUUUCAAACAACUCCAUGUAUGGACAUUCACAUAUAAAAAUUCUUGAGAACGUCAGAAAGUGGGGUGCUCUGACGGGCUGCUAGCCACAGCUUCCCAGGAACUGAUGAAAAAAAAUGACAGGCAGCGACCCUUGCCACGGUUGCUAUAGCAACCACGGCUUUUGGAGCCCUGGGAGAUGUUUCUCUGGACUUUCUGCCACUGCUGCUCAGGACAGCUGACUGUUGUCAAGAGUUGGAGCCUCUCCAUAAAUUUCCAGCUGCUGAGGGGGUUGGCCCUACACCUGCUGAGAAGUUUCUUCUGGUGUUUCAACACUACGUUCAGCACUGACUCCUUUAGGAGAAGUAUAUGUUUUCCAGGUUUUAUUUUUCACCACUCCCAUUGUUGCCUGAGACAGAAGGCAGUUUUGGAACCAUGGAUGCUCAUUUGGUGAGUUGAUGCCUUUGUGCCCUGUCUUGGCCACAUAGUGCAGAGAGUGGAAUCGACAUAAUUUUGUCUGUGUUCCCCAAGACAAUUUGGGGGACCUCCUCUGCAUUUGCAAGUGAGGGUUUAAGUGUUUGCCUCUAUGUUUCUUGGUUAUUGCUGUUUUCUUUUAGUAAACUGUUUUUUCUUUUUCACAUACCUCUUCAAAUUUGUCUCUCAUUGGUAGAGGGGAUAGAUUGAAAACUAAGGGGAGGGAAGUUAUUGCAGAAUCUCUGCCCUGUGAAAUUUCCUUAACUAACACUUAUUUGGCACCAAGCUAAAAGGGGGUCAAUAGAGGAAGUGAAAAAAUACAAAUUUGACCAAAUAAUUUCUAUCUUGGAACUCCCUGGUUACGACAUUGCUUGGUCUGAUCAUGGCAGUGUGGCACCUAACCUUGUUUAUGUGUCCAAAUAUGUGGAAAGAUCUGUCUGUGAUAGUGCUGUUAUUCAGAUCAGGGAGAGGAACCAAGGUACAGUUUGUGUUACCAGUUUGUGUUACCAGUUUAUGGAAUGAUAACAUCAAAGGCAAUGAAGAUCAUUUGGUAAAUGUAUUCAUUGUUGUUUGCCUGUCCUGAUCUGGGUUGCUGUGCCUGAGGGUUUAUUAAUAACCACACACAGCCUGUGGGGGAAAGAGGAGAUGAUUUUUCCUUUUGCCUUUCACCUCCUUCUCCCUUCAGGUCCGACACAUCAAUUCUUAAAAAAGCUGAAUUCCCUCUGGAUGCUAUAGACAUGGUGGGAGUUCUACUGGUUGGGAUGGAUAGGGAGCUAGCCUUCAUCAAUAAUGGAAGCAUCAGCUUAAGGCCUUGGGAUGCAGGAUGUUUAGAAAUGAAACAUCUAGUUGGAUUAUGGUGAGAAGCAUGGAAUCAUGGUAGUUAUUAUGUUAACAUUGUUAUUCCAUAUUAGGCAAUGUUUCUAGUUCUUGUAUCUGAUUGGUUAGAUACAUUUUCCAUACAUGGUUAUGUUUUUAGUUCCCACUGAUGGUUGGCUCUCUGCCCUCAAAUACAUUGUUGAGUUUGCCCCAUUGUCUUGUUUUUGAGGUUCAUCCCAUACAGUGCACAGCUUUUGCUUCCUUCAUUAUUUUUGCUUGUUAAUAAAGUCAUCUAUCUUUUGGAAUCCUUGUUCUCGUCCCUAUUUCUUCUGCCACACAACUCCCAGCUGGCCCGGUCCUGAGGUCGCACACAAUGGCAUGACAAGACACCAUAUUCUCCUUGCUGGUUCUGCUCUGUCUCCUCUGUACUGUCUACAACACAUCUGGAGUCAGAUGGAGAUUUCUAGGGGGGUGUCUUGGAUU
Serinus canaria (Common canary) is the source of this 2470-nucleotide long non-coding RNA. RefSeq lists it as uncharacterized. The transcript is spliced from 5 exons. The record is from RefSeq and is a predicted model, not a curated record. Lineage: Eukaryota; Metazoa; Chordata; Aves; Passeriformes; Fringillidae.